Molecule: ribosomal RNA, 253 nt
Filed under: uncultured bacterium
Lineage: Bacteria
Description: partial 16S ribosomal RNA
Rfam family: Bacterial small subunit ribosomal RNA
Source: RNAcentral
UACAGAGGUCCCGAGCGUUGUUCGGAUUCAUUGGGCGUAAAGGGUGCGUAGGCGGCGCGGUAAGUCGGGUGUGAAAUCUCGGAGCUUAACUCCGAAACUGCAUUCGAUACUGCCGUGCUUGAGGACUGGAGAGGAGACCGGAAUUUACGGUGUAGCGGUGAAAUGCGUAGAUAUCGUAAGGAAGACCAGUGGCGAAGGCGGGUCUCUGGACAGUUCCUGACGCUGAGGCACGAAGGUCAGGGGAGCAAACGGG